GAUGAACGCUGGCGGCGUGCCUAAUACAUGCGAGUCGAGCGAACAGACGAGGAGCUUGCUCCUCUGACGUUAGCGGCGGACGGGUGAGUAACACGUGGAUAACCUACCUAUAAGACUGGGAUAACUUCGGGAAACCGGAGCUAAUACCGGAUAAUAUAUUGAACCGCAUGGUUCAAUAGUGAAAGACGGUUUUGCUGUCACUUAUAGAUGGAUCCGCGCCGCAUUAGCUAGUUGGUAAGGUAACGGCUUACCAAGGCAACGAUGCGUAGCCGACCUGAGAGGGUGAUCGGCCACACUGGAACUGAGACACGGUCCAGACUCCUACGGGAGGCAGCAGUAGGGAAUCUUCCGCAAUGGGCGAAAGCCUGACGGAGCAACGCCGCGUGAGUGAUGAAGGUCUUCGGAUCGUAAAACUCUGUUAUUAGGGAAGAACAAAUGUGUAAGCAACUAUGCACGUCUUGACGGUACCUAAUCAGAAAGCCACGGCUAACUACGUG
RNAcentral lists this ribosomal RNA (497 nucleotides) under uncultured bacterium. RNAcentral's name for it is "partial 16S ribosomal RNA". It matches the Rfam family "Bacterial small subunit ribosomal RNA", at positions 28 to 507 of the family's 1533-position model. The record is from RNAcentral.